GACGAACGCUGGCGGCGUGCAUAACACAUGCAAGUCACGGGGGCCAGCAAUGGCAACCGGCGAACGGGUGCGUAACACGUAAGCGACCUACCUCGAUGUGGGGCAUAGCCGGCCUAAACGGCCGGGUAAUUCCGCAUGUGAUCCUUGAGGGGCAUAUCUCGGGGAUGAAACCAGUAAUGGGCAUUGAGAGGGGCUUGCGGCCUAUCAGCUUGUUGGCGGGGUAACGGCNCACCAAGGCGACGACGGGUAGCUGGUCUGAGAGGAUGGCCAGCACAUUGGGACUGAGAAACGGCCCAGACUCCUACGGGAGGCAGCAGUGGGGAAUCUUGCGCAAUGGCCUAACGGCUGACGCAGCGACCGCCGCGUGAGGGAUGAAGCUCCUCGGAGU
This 388-nucleotide ribosomal RNA is filed under the name uncultured bacterium. Its description in RNAcentral is "bacterial SSU rRNA". It matches the Rfam family "Bacterial small subunit ribosomal RNA", at positions 28 to 424 of the family's 1533-position model. The record is from RNAcentral.